This 1482-nucleotide ribosomal RNA is filed under the name uncultured Bacteroidota bacterium. RNAcentral describes it as "bacterial SSU rRNA". It matches the Rfam family "Bacterial small subunit ribosomal RNA". The record is from RNAcentral. Lineage: Bacteria; Pseudomonadati; Bacteroidota.
AGAGUUUGAUCAUGGCUCAGGAUGAACGCUAGCGGCAGGCUUAAUACAUGCAAGUUGUACGGUAAGGUUCGCCUUUGGCGAACACACGAGUGGCGCACGGGUGCGUAACGCGUAUGCAACCUACCCAUAGCUGGGGAAUAGCUCCCGGAAACGGAAAUUAAUACCCCAUAAUAUCACGAAAACACAUGUUAUUGUGAUUAAAGCUCCGGCGGCAAUGGAUGGGCAUGCGUGGCAUUAGUUAGUUGGUGAGGUAAUGGCUCACCAAGGCAACGAUGCCUAGGGGUCCUGAGAGGGUUAACCCCCACACUGGUACUGAGACACGGACCAGACUCCUACGGGAGGCAGCAGUAAGGAAUAUUGGUCAAUGGGCGAAAGCCUGAACCAGCCAUGCCGCGUGCAGGAUGACUACCCUACGGGUUGUAAACUGCUUUUCUGCGGGAAAAAUCUCUCCGACGUGUCGGGGAUUGAUGGUACCGUAGGAAUAAGCAUCGGCUAACUCCGUGCCAGCAGCCGCGGUAAUACGGAGGAUGCAAGCGUUAUCCGGAUUCAUUGGGUUUAAAGGGUACGUAGGCGGAUCAAUAAGUCAGUGGUGAAAUCUUCCGGCUCAACUGGAAAAUUGCCAUUGAUACUGUCGAUCUUGAGUAUAGAUGUAGUGGGCGGAAUACGGUAUGUAGCGGUGAAAUGCAUAGAUAUGCCGUAGAACACCAAUCGCGAAAGCAGCUCACUAAACUAUCACUGACGCUGAGGUACGAAAGCGUGGGUAGCAAACAGGAUUAGAUACCCUGGUAGUCCACGCUGUAAACGAUGAUCACUCGCUGUUGGCGAUACAUUGUCAGCGGCUGAGCAAACGCAAUAAGUGAUCCACCUGGGGAGUACGACCGCAAGGUUGAAACUCAAAGGAAUUGACGGGGGCCCGCACAAGCGGUGGAGCAUGUGGUUUAAUUCGAUGAUACGCGAGGAACCUUACCUGGGCUUAAAUGCAGGACGCUAUUCGCCGAAAGGCGGAGUUCCUUCGGGACGGACUGCAAGGUGCUGCAUGGUUGUCGUCAGCUCGUGCCGUGAGGUGUCGGGUUAAGUCCCAUAACGAGCGCAACCCUUAUUAUUAGUUGCCAUCAGGUUAUGCUGGGGACUCUAAUAAAACUGCCUACGCAAGUAGUGAGGAAGGUGAGGAUGACGUCAAAUCAGCACGGCCCUUAUGUCCAGGGCUACACACGUGCUACAAUGGCCGGUACAGAGGGUCGCUAUCUGACAACAGAAUGCUAAUCUCGAAAACCGGUCUCAGUUCGGAUUGAAGUCUGCAACUCGACUUCAUGAAGUUGGAAUCGCUAGUAAUCGCGCAUCAGCAACGACGCGGUGAAUACGUUCCCGGGCCUUGUACACACCGCCCGUCAAGCCAUGGAAGCUGGGAGUACCUGAAGUCCGUAACCGCAAGGAGCGGCCUAGGGUAAAACCAGUGACUGGGGCUAAGUCGUAACAAGGUAA